Molecule: long non-coding RNA, 1091 nt
Filed under: Nicotiana benthamiana
Lineage: Eukaryota; Viridiplantae; Streptophyta; Magnoliopsida; Solanales; Solanaceae
Description: long non-coding RNA (NBEN_LNC015136)
Source: RNAcentral
UGAAAUCAUUCCAAUGACAACAAGUCGUCCAUAGACAGCCAAUGCAUUCAAGCAGAUGUCAAACAUCUCACCACCAACGGACUCAUAGACAAUAUCGACACCUUUAGGGAACUCUUUCUUUAAGACCUGGUGCAGCCAUAUAUAUACAGAACUAGUUAGAAAAGUAACUCCAGCUGAAACUAAUAUAUCAUGGAAACCCAGAAAAUCAGACUAGAGCAAACAUUUAAGAACUUGUUACAAAAAGGAAGCUUAAGCAACAUAAAAAGAGUAGCCACUCUGGAAUUAGACAACCAAGCUAAUACUCAUGUUUUGCUGCUAAUAUAUCUCCAUGGAAAUGGUCAACUUGCACACCUCCACCCACUACAAUGUUCAAAAUUCUUUGUGGACAACCUAAUAUGGAGGCCCAACAUUAGGACACACAAUAACAUGAAUGGGCCGAACUCUGACACUAUGUGAAGAGAUGGACCUUGAGCUUAACUCAACCCAAAAAACUAGCUCAUGAGAUGAGGAUGGCCCAAGACCAUAUAAGGAGACAAACAACCCAUCCAUCUACCAAUAUGGGACACUUAACACUUUGCACCAGUGAGAUGACACCAUCAAUUGAUCAAUCAACCACGCCUCAAUCUCAUAAUUGGGGUUGGCUACAAGAAUUGUUAUAUAUAUUUCGCUCUAUUCACGUCCAUUUCACUCAGCUACGGCAUAGUUUAUCUCUUAAGGCAAAUUAGUGGUUCUAUAAACCUAAAAGUUCUCGAAAGGCCCCCAUUUUGGAACUCUUUCCCCAUAAAAAGUUUGUUUGAUAUUUAUAAGAACUACCCUCGAGAGCAUGCUUUUCCACAAAGCAUUCUGAGGUAUCUAUUCAUAAUGCAUUGCAAUAACAUUUGAAUGACAACGAACAAUAUGAUGUUUAUCCAAGACAGCAGCAUACAAGUUAUAAGAACAUAGUAAGCCAGUGAGUUUAAGAAACUUAACAGCUUUUAUGUUUUCUACUUUGUAGUCAAUGACACGAUCAACUCCCAAAUCCUUAAGAAGCUUGGCCUUUUCAGUGCCUCCACAAGUUGCAACCACCGUGUUUCCAGAUAAUUUUGCAAGCU